Molecule: transfer RNA, 66 nt
Filed under: Gyrodactylus kobayashii
Lineage: Eukaryota; Metazoa; Platyhelminthes; Monogenea; Gyrodactylidea; Gyrodactylidae
Description: tRNA-Gly
Source: RNAcentral
ACAGUAUUAUUAUAAUUAAUAUACUAUCUUUCCAAGUUAGAGAUCCUUUAGGUUUAGGAUACUGUA